CGGGUGUGUCGGCUGCAGCCAGGCGGCAGUUCUGGGGCCUUUUAGAAAAUCUCACACCACUUCCUAGUUGGAGCAAUUAAACAAUAGAGAAGAUGGGUAUUCUGGAGCAGAAUUUAAUGAAACAGAACUCCACCAUCUAUGGCAAGUUUGACUGCUUGAGUCUCCAGAGGAUAAUAGUUGGAGGCCACUGAGGCCCAAAUUCAUCAGUCCGGCCAUUGAAGGACACAAGUGAACAAAG
RNAcentral lists this long non-coding RNA (238 nucleotides) under Homo sapiens (human). RNAcentral's name for it is "non-protein coding lnc-HECA-3:2". Lineage: Eukaryota; Metazoa; Chordata; Mammalia; Primates; Hominidae. The record is from RNAcentral.